Molecule: non-coding RNA, 189 nt
Organism: Zootoca vivipara (common lizard)
Lineage: Eukaryota; Metazoa; Chordata; Lepidosauria; Squamata; Lacertidae
Source: RefSeq, a predicted model, not a curated record
GGUAGCUUAUUUAUUAGAGGUGUAUCCUGCCUUUCCACUUUUGCAAACUUAUUUGCUAUGUAGGUAUAUGUUAUCCUAAAUCCAAAUGUUAGGAUUUAACUGCUUUGCUUUCGCAUACUGAACUCUGAAAUAAAUUUAUAUGUAGAUUUCUGACAGUCACUGCUCUCCUGUCAUUUUCUGUCAUAUGUA